RNAcentral lists this long non-coding RNA (455 nucleotides) under Canis lupus familiaris (dog). RNAcentral describes it as "lncRNA (ENSCAFG00000058636.1, ENSCAFG00845002022.1)". Lineage: Eukaryota; Metazoa; Chordata; Mammalia; Carnivora; Canidae. The record is from RNAcentral.
AUGUCAAAGAGGAAUAUUAAAUGUGGCAAGACUUUGGGGAGUAGCUCUCAGGUUUGGUCUACAAACACAUCAGUGGCUUCAAGCAAUCUCAAAGACUUUGAGAGCACUAGUGGAGGAACUAUGGUUUGCAAAUUUCCAGGAGGAGGAAGGAGCUUACCAACUUUUCCAUCUGGUCCUGUGACCUGGGUUAAUACUCUUUUGGAAAUUAUGUGCAGGGAAGUGCCUACCAAAAUAAAUGGAAGACAGACAAGUUUCUCUGUACUUGCUCAUUUCUAGCACACAUUGCUCUUGGCUGACUUUUUAACAGUGAGAGAAGGCAGUCAUUGAUGCCGUGUGUACACCUCAUGUUCAAGGAAUACCAGGGGUAGCAGUUAAUCCACUAAAUGUGACAUUAGACUGAAGAAGACACAGUGGUUUUUAGGGGCAAAAGAUCAUUGUUCAUUGCUUAUUGUCCA